UCAGACUUACCAAAAGAUUUUUCACUGUUCUUCAUUUCUUUGGCGAAGAAGCAAUAUACAUUUUUAAAUUUGCAAAAGCAGGCUUUGUGCCCCUGUGCGUGGGUGUGACCCCAUCAAAAGCAGCACGCCAUGAAGCAGAGAGCUCACAUCUAUGACUGUUGGGAAAUGGAACAACUGAGUCAGGCAGAACUCCGUGCCAAACCUCUUCUGCUUUAUAGCAACUCCAAUCCUUUAAAGAUUCUGCCAAAGUCUUUGGAAGUCUGCUGCUCAAUAACAUACUUUGGGAAUAGUAUUGAUAUAUUCAGCGGAGUAGAGAAGCUCAAUCUCCUCAUCUGAAACACCAAGGAGACUGAGGUUGUUCGUGGGAGAAGCUGCCUGCCAGCAUUCCUGAAAACUUACUUUUGGAGCAUCUGUUUUGUUUUUAAGGGAGGUCUGGACCAAACUACGUUGCAUUAAAUGGAAAGGCUAUGAAGCAAAGCUUCCUUUCUCCCUGAAGUUCCAGGAGACAGGUCGCUGGAGUCUUGCAUUGCUCCCUACCCUGCUCUCUCUCCUAGGUCUACGCGUCUUGACUGACCUCAAUGCAAAAUCAGAAUCACCCUGUUCUUUUUCACUGCUUACCCCUUUAUCAUUGUUCUUACAUGAUUAUGCCUGGGAACACAGAGAUCUGGUUCUGUGCUUUUGUUAUUGUUCUUUCUAAUGGACAAAGGUCGUUUAUUGCACUUUUCUAUAGAGGAAGAUCACCACAUUUCUAAAACCAGGACUAAACUGAUUAAUAACCCUGAUAAUACUCCAAAAUUACCAAAGCACAAAGGAGUCACUCUUUUUUUUAAAGGAUGGAAUAAAAAUACUCAUUUACAGACUUGAAUCUGAAGUUACUAAUAAAUCUAUUUAAAUAAGGAAAAGAAAAAAAAAAAAAAGGAGUCCAGACAGAAUGCCUCAUUUCUUCAUUGUUCACCAGUCUGCAAUGGGUGAAAUUAUUCCUCAUCUUAAAAAAAACGUCCUGGAAAACUUUCAGAUGCCUCAUGUUAUUGCAUCUGUAUCACCACGUGACCCCACAUCUUGGACUUGUUCUGUGUCACCUCACUUCAGAAUGGUGCUGAAGUGCUGCAGAGCUCUGUAAGGUGACUGAUGCUGUCGAAUGGGUAAGCACCCUGAAAAGGUGUAACAUAGAGGGAGUAACAGGGUGGCAAAUUCACAGCAUCUCUGUUUACGGGUUUGAGGAUUUGCAGCUUGGAACUGGGAGCUGAAGUGCCCUGCUUCCAAUCAAACACACAAACAUGGGCUGACUUCUCUGUAAAAUCAGUUCUGGUCAACUCUGGGUGUUAGGAGUGAAAGACAAUGUGAAAAAGCUCCAUGAAACUCAUAUCUCUGUAAGUUUCAGUGACACUGUUGAGACCAAUUUUUUUGCAGGGUUCUGCAGCUGCUUGGAGUACAAUGUGUGUGUGUAUAUAUACAGUUCAUCAGCUGCUUUUUCUCCAUUUACAAGAAACAAACAAAAAAAAAAUCAGGAAAAUGUUUACUUGCUUGAAAUCCCACUAAUUCUUGUGAAUGAGAAAUUGUUUUGUUGAGACCUACCAAGCACUGGGCAACAUUUAUCCCAAUAAUGACAGCGAGCUCUGCUGCACAGCUAAUGGUGUUUUGUGUUCUGCUAAGUUAAACUUGCUGUUAAUAUUCUUGCAGUAUACUCAAAACAAAUCUCUCAAACGUAAGUACGUUUGCUUUAGGAUGAGAGCACUCCCCCUUAUACUAACAGAGGGGUUUCCAGGCACAGAAGUGUUUUCUGGCGCGAAUAUCUACAACUCGAACCACCCUCAUAACAACACCGUGGGGGAAGCCGAGGCCACGCCGCCGCGUGAUGUACCUGCAGUCACAGCGGGAGCAACGGCACAAGAGCCAAGGCUAGAGGAACGCGUGAUUUUGCCCUCGAGGCCACGACUCCCAGCCCGGGGCCGACGAGCCGAACGCCCACCGGCAGUAAACGCCCGCACGGCUUCCUCCGCGCCAUCCACGUGACAAGGGAAAAAACCGAGUCGCUUAUUUUCGGCUCCUGGAUGCACCUGACCAUCUGCGAGCGCACGAGCCGUGCGCUCUUACUGCGCCUGGCAGCCGCUCGUUCUCCGCGCCAACUUGUAAAAACGUCCGUCCUUCCCCCUUC
This is a long non-coding RNA of Centrocercus urophasianus (Greater sage-grouse), 2155 nucleotides long. RefSeq lists it as uncharacterized. The transcript is spliced from 4 exons. The record is from RefSeq and is a predicted model, not a curated record. NCBI's taxonomy places the organism in Eukaryota, Metazoa, Chordata, Aves, Galliformes, Phasianidae.